This 483-nucleotide ribosomal RNA is filed under the name uncultured bacterium. RNAcentral's name for it is "partial 16S ribosomal RNA". It matches the Rfam family "Bacterial small subunit ribosomal RNA", at positions 30 to 506 of the family's 1533-position model. The record is from RNAcentral.
AUUGAACGCUGGCGGCAGGCCUAACACAUGCAAGUCGAGCGGAUGAAGGGAGCUUGCUCCUGGAUUCAGCGGCGGACGGGUGAGUAAUGCCUAGGAAUCUGCCUGGUAGUGGGGGAUAACGUCCGGAAACGGGCGCUAAUACCGCAUACGUCCUGAGGGAGAAAGUGGGGGAUCUUCGGACCUCACGCUAUCAGAUGAGCCUAGGUCGGAUUAGCUAGUUGGUGGGGUAAAGGCCUACCAAGGCGACGAUCCGUAACUGGUCUGAGAGGAUGAUCAGUCACACUGGAACUGAGACACGGUCCAGACUCCUACGGGAGGCAGCAGUGGGGAAUAUUGGACAAUGGGCGAAAGCAUGAUCCAGCCAUGCCGCGUGUGUGAAGAAGGUCUUCGGAUUGUAAAGCACUUUAAGUUGGGAGGAAGGGCAGUAAGUUAAUACCUGGCUGUUUUGACGUUACCAACAGAAUAAGCACCGGCUAACUUCGU